This 447-nucleotide ribosomal RNA is filed under the name uncultured bacterium. Its description in RNAcentral is "partial 16S ribosomal RNA". It matches the Rfam family "Bacterial small subunit ribosomal RNA", at positions 29 to 523 of the family's 1533-position model. The record is from RNAcentral.
AACGAACGCUGGCGGCAGGCUUAACACAUGCAAGUCGAACGCAUCGCAAGAUGAGUGGCAGACGGGUGAGUAACGCGUGGGAACAUACCCUUUUCUACGGAAUAGCUCUGGGAAACUGGAAUUAAUACCGUAUACGCCCUACGGGGGAAAGAUUUAUCGGGGAAGGAUUGGCCCGCGUUGGACUAGCUAGUUGGUGGGGUAAAGGCCUACCAAGGCGACGAUCCAUAGCUGGCCUGAGAGGAUGAUCAGCCACAUUGGGACUGAGACACGGCCCAAACUCCUACGGGAGGCAGCAGUGGGGAAUAUUGGACAAUGGGCGCAAGCCUGAUCCAGCCAUGCCGCGUGAGUGAUGAAGGCCUUAGGGUUGUAAAGCUCUUUCACCGAUGAAGAUAAUGACGGUAGUCGGAGAAGAAGCCCCGGCUAACUUCGUGCCAGCAGCCGCAGUAA